Long non-coding RNA from Aethalodelphis obliquidens (Pacific white-sided dolphin), 1230 nucleotides. RefSeq lists it as uncharacterized. Lineage: Eukaryota; Metazoa; Chordata; Mammalia; Artiodactyla; Delphinidae. The record is from RefSeq and is a predicted model, not a curated record. The transcript has 3 exons.
AUCAUUUAGAUACCUAAUUUUUGAAUAAUCUUCGUUAUCCUGGAACUUAAGACUGCUGAUCAGAUUCUUCUUGGAAUUGCUCCUUUGCCCUUUCGCUAUAUCACAAGAUCUUUUCACUCAAACACUUAUAGAGUACUAGAAGAAAAAAGAGGUGAAUAAGUCAUUCAUAUGUAAUUUAAUUUUUCCAAGUUUUUAUUAUAAAAAUUUCCAAAUAUACAGAAUAUGUGAAAGAAUAUUACAGUAUCCACUCUAAUUCAACAAUAGUACCCAAUACCCAGACUCAACAAUUCAACAAUUAACAUUUUGCCAUAUAUGCUUUAUCUGUAUAUAAGUGUUUGUAAAACAUUUUUUUUUUUGCAGAAUCAUCCCAAAGUUGCAGACAAGACACACCACCCAAACAUGCUGCAGUAUGCACCUCUAAAGAUAAGAACAUUCUAUUUCAUAGUCAUAAUACUAUUAUCAGGUCUUGAGAAAAUUAACAAUCUUGCUAAUAUCUAUUACCCAUACCAUAUUCAAAUUUGCUCAGCUUUCCUCAAAAAUCAUCUUUUAUAGCAGAUAUGUUCUUUUGAACCAGGAUCCAAUCAUGGCUCACUUAUUGCAUUCGACUGCUUUUUCCCCCAUUUGUCAAACUAGAAUAGUCCCUUCCACGUUUUAGUUUUUCUUAAUAUUGGCUUUCUGAAGAGACAAGGUCAGUUGUCUUGAAAAAUGCACCACAUUCUGGAUUUGUCUGUUUCCUCAUGGUGUUAUUUUGUUCCUCUAGUCCCACAAGGUAUUUCAAAUUUGAAGCAGUUCACAAAUACAUUAGAAUACAGUGAAACAACUCAAAUUUUUACAGAGCAAGGCCAGUGAAAAUAUAGAUGAAAUAGGAAGAUAAGGAGUUCUGAAAGGAGGAAAAGUGUUUUGUGUGGCUGGUAAUCCCAUCAAACUGCAUUUUCUCCUUGGGCAAAAUCAAGAUCAUGGAUUGAUUUAUCAUUUUUUCCCUAAAUUACAAGAUUUUGGAUUAAAUAUACAUUGUUUAAGAGCCUCUCCAAUUAGAUUAAGAGGAAAGUAGGAAACUGAAAGAGAAGAAAGUUUUUACAACGUAGCCUCAGAAGACAAAAAAAUCAACUGAAGCAAGGUUUUUCCAUUUGUGCCAUACAGGAAAGCACAUUAAAAAUGAUGAAUUGGGAGGCUUCCCUGGUGGUGCAGUGUUUGAGAAUCUGCCUGCUAAUGCAGGGGACACGGGUUCGA